Molecule: small nuclear RNA, 103 nt
Organism: Meriones unguiculatus (Mongolian gerbil)
Lineage: Eukaryota; Metazoa; Chordata; Mammalia; Rodentia; Muridae
Source: Ensembl
GCGCUUGCUUGUAUGACACAUAUGUAAAAUUAGAUUCAUGCAUAGAUUAGCAUGGCCCCUGCCCAAGGAUGACAUGUUAAUUCAUGAAGUGUUCCAUAUUUUU